RNAcentral lists this ribosomal RNA (274 nucleotides) under uncultured bacterium. Its description in RNAcentral is "partial 16S ribosomal RNA". It matches the Rfam family "Bacterial small subunit ribosomal RNA", at positions 523 to 796 of the family's 1533-position model. The record is from RNAcentral.
AUACGGAGGGUGCAAGCAUUAAUCGGAUUCAUUGGGCGUAAAGGGCGCGUAGGCGGGGAUAUAAGUCAGACGUGAAAGCCCAAGGCUCAACCUUGGAACUGCAUUUGAAACUGUAUCUCUUGAGGAUAGGCGGAGGAAACGGAAUUUCACGUGUAGCGGUGAAAUGCGUAGAUACGUGAAGGAACACCGGUGGCGAAGGCGGUUUCCUAGCUUAUUCCUGACGCUGAGGCGCGAAAGCUAGGGUAGCGAACAGGAUUAGAAACCCCUGUAGUCC